AGUGGCGGACGGGUGAGGAAUACGUAGGGAUCUGCCCUUAAGUGGGGGAUAACCCGGGGAAACCCGGAUUAAUACCGCAUGAUCUCGCAAGAGCAAAGAGGGGGACCGCAAGGCCUCUCGCUUUUGGAGGAACCUACGUCGGAUUAGCUAGUUGGUGAGGUAACGGCUCACCAAGGCGACGAUCCGUAACUGGUCUGAGAGGAUGAUCAGUCACACCGGAACUGAGACACGGUCCGGACUCCUACGGGAGGCAGCAGUGGGGAAUAUUGGACAAUGGGCGAAAGCCUGAUCCAGCAAUACCGCGUGUGUGAAGAAGGCCUUCGGGUUGUAAAGCACUUUAAGUUGGGAAGAAAAAGCUUCACCUAAUACGUGGAGCCUUGACGGUACCGACAGAAUAAGCACCGGCUAACUCUGUGCCAGCAGCCGCGGUAAUACAGAGGGUGCUAGCGUUAAUCGGAUUUACUGGGCGUAAAGCGUGCGUAGGCGGUUUGAUGAGUCGAUUGUGAAAGCCCCGGGCUCAACCUGGGAAUUGCGGUCGAUACUGUCAGACUCGAAAACGGUAGAGGGAGGCGGAACUCCAGGUGUAGCGGUGAAAUGCGUAGAUAUCUGGAAGAACACCGAUGGCGAAGGCAACCUCCUGGGCCUGUUUUGACGCUGAGGCACGAAAGCGUGGGUAGCAAACAGGAUUAGAUACCCUGGU
Molecule: ribosomal RNA, 700 nt
Filed under: uncultured Gammaproteobacteria bacterium
Lineage: Bacteria; Pseudomonadati; Pseudomonadota; Gammaproteobacteria
Description: bacterial SSU rRNA
Rfam family: Bacterial small subunit ribosomal RNA
Source: RNAcentral